UAAAUACAAUGUAAGUUUCUGAGGGUGAUA
This 30-nucleotide non-coding RNA is filed under the name Mus musculus (house mouse). The record is from RNAcentral. Lineage: Eukaryota; Metazoa; Chordata; Mammalia; Rodentia; Muridae.